RNAcentral lists this ribosomal RNA (456 nucleotides) under uncultured bacterium. RNAcentral describes it as "bacterial SSU rRNA". It matches the Rfam family "Bacterial small subunit ribosomal RNA", at positions 923 to 1379 of the family's 1533-position model. The record is from RNAcentral.
GCACAAGCGGUGGAGCAUGUGGUUUAAUUCGACGCAACGCGAAGAACCUUACCUGGACUCGAAAUGUUGUGGACCGAGGUAGAAAUAUCUCUUCCCCGCAAGGGGCUGCAAUAUAGGUGCUGCAUGGCUGUCGUCAGCUCGUGUCGUGAGAUGUUGGGUUAAGUCCCGCAACGAGCGCAACCCUUAUCUCCAGUUGCUACCAUUUAGUUGAGCACUCUGGCGAAACCGCCUCGGAUAACGGGGAGGAAGGUGGGGAUGACGUCAAGUCCUCAUGGCCUUUAUGCCCAGGGCUACACACGUGCUACAAUGGCCGGUACAAACCGUUGCAAACCCGCGAGGGGGAGCUAAUCGGAAAAAGCCGGCCUCAGUUCGGAUCGCAGUCUGCAACUCGACUGCGUGAAGCUGGAAUCGCUAGUAAUCGCGGAUCAGAACGCCGCGGUGAAUACGUUCCCGGGC